Drosophila suzukii is the source of this 1191-nucleotide non-coding RNA. Lineage: Eukaryota; Metazoa; Arthropoda; Insecta; Diptera; Drosophilidae. The record is from RefSeq and is a predicted model, not a curated record.
ACCCCUAAUAAUUAAAAUCUACUGAAAUAUCAGCUAAACGAUUAUUGGGCUGUGUUUUCCGUUCGGGAUGCCGCGUAGGGAGAAAAACUGGUUUUUAAAGAAGAAACAAAGUGUUUAUGACUGAUGCCGUCAAAGUACUUGUAAUUUAACAAAGGGAAAAUGCGGGUAUUGGGUAUUGCACGGUGGAUGGAUUUUAUUUAAUUUUAAAUUUAAUUUAUUUUAUUUUAAUUGAAGUUUUCCUUAUAUGUAGUUCUUGGACAGAGUUAUAUUAUACGUUCUUUUCUCGUUGACAAUGACUUAGGAACUCCGCUUAAUGUUAAAGCUUAUAAAGAGCUACAGCAUAAUUGACUGGCGCCUCGUGUUAACAUAACCGUUUAUUCGAUGGCUUAUCUUGAGCUUGAGCAUGUUGAUAAGAUCCACAGCGUUAUCUGCAUAAGCCAGCGGAUGAAGGGCGAGAGAAACUAACCAAAAAUAACUACACUAAAAAAGGGAUGCCAAUUUGGUGGAACGGUGGUGUGUGCUGACUUUGUAUAUAUAAAUAUAUGUCAAUACAUUUUGUGAAACUUGUGCGGAAUGUGCCACUUGUGGUGUGCAGAUUAUGCUUCCGAUCGGAAAGAUCAAAAAAAUAUAUAUAUAUUUUUUUUUUUCGCACAAAACGGAGGCCUUACCGGUCGAGCGGCCAAUUUGGCGGAACGGGGUUUGUGCUGAUAAUAUACAAAUAUAUGUCGAUAUAUUUUGUGGAACUUGCGCGGAAUGUGCCACUUGUGAAAAUGGAGGCGGUGAAGCGGGACUGUGCGGAAGAAAUAUAUAAAUUACACGUAUUACACGUAUUGCAUUCGUUAAUUAUGUUUUGUAUUAAUUUUAUGUAGUCUGGGUAAAAAUAUGAGUUUCUAAAGUCUAUUAUCAUUUUUUGUAUUCCUUGAUGAAUUUUAUUUUUGUGUAUUUUAAUAAUAAGGUCUUUAAAUUCUGAAUAGCUACUUAUAUUUAUAAGAUUUUUUGUAGCUUUAUAGAGUUUAGUUCCAGUGUUUGGUCGAAUAAUUUUUAUAUAUUAUUAUAUUAUAUAUAUAUAUUUAUAUAUUUUAUAUUAUUUGAAAAAUAACAAAAUCAUUAAUAUUUUCGAACAAAGUAGUAGAGGUUCGUCCACAAAUGGCUUCUAGUAUUAUAUCGCUUCCCUUUUCACUGGUCAUUUCA